GACGAACGCUGGCGGCGUGCUUAACACAUGCAAGUCGAACGGCAAGGCCGUGCUUUUGUAGGCUGCUCAAGUAGCGAACGGGUGAGUCCCAUGUGAUUAACCUACCCUCGACUUAGGGAUAACUUCAGGAAACUGGGCCUAAUACCGGAUAGGAGCUCCGGCUGCAUGGUGGGGGUUGGGAAGUUUCGGGUGGUGGGGGUGGACUCGCGGCUAAUCAGCUUGUUGGUGGGGUAGUGGCUUACCAAGGCUUUGACGGGUAGCCGGCCUGAGAGGGUGACCGGCGACAUUGGGACUGAGAUGCGGCACAGCCUCAUACGGGAGGCGGAAGUGGGGAGGAGUGCACUAUGGGCUGAAGCCUGAUGCAGCCACGCCGCGUGGGGGAUGACGGCCAUCGGGUUGUAAACCGCAUCCGCUUGUGAUGAAGAGUGAGUGACGGUAAUGGGUAAAGAAGCACCGGCUAACUACGUG
Molecule: ribosomal RNA, 468 nt
Filed under: uncultured bacterium
Lineage: Bacteria
Description: partial 16S ribosomal RNA
Rfam family: Bacterial small subunit ribosomal RNA
Source: RNAcentral